UACGUAGGGUGCGAGCGUUAAUCGGAAUUACUGGGCGUAAAGCGUGCGCAGGCGGUUUUGUAAGACAGAGGUGAAAUCCCCGGGCUUAACCUGGGAACUGCCUUUGUGACUGCAAGGCUUGAGUGCGGCAGAGGGGGAUGGAAUUCCGCGUGUAGCAGUGAAAUGCGUAGAUAUGCGGAGGAACACCGAUGGCGAAGGCAAUCCCCUGGGCCUGCACUGACGCUGAGGGACGAAAGCUAGGGGAGCGAACGGG
This 253-nucleotide ribosomal RNA is filed under the name uncultured bacterium. RNAcentral's name for it is "partial 16S ribosomal RNA". It matches the Rfam family "Bacterial small subunit ribosomal RNA", at positions 524 to 776 of the family's 1533-position model. The record is from RNAcentral.